Molecule: ribosomal RNA, 502 nt
Filed under: uncultured Glomeromycotina
Lineage: Eukaryota; Fungi; Glomeromycota
Description: partial small subunit ribosomal RNA
Rfam family: Eukaryotic small subunit ribosomal RNA
Source: RNAcentral
CCAAUAGCGUAUAUUAAAGUUGUUGCAGUUAAAAAGCUCGUAGUUGAAUUUCGGGGUUCAUCCGUUGGUCGGGCUUUUUGGUCUGUACUGGCGUGAUGGAUUCCUACCUUCUGAAUAACCGGCAUGUCAUUAAUUUGGUGCGCCGGGGAAGCAGGACUGUUACCUUGAAAAAAUUAGAGUGCUUAAAGCAGGCUAUCGCCUGAAUACAUUAGCAUGGAAUAAUGAAAUAGGACGGCAUGGUUCUAUUUUGUUGGUUUCUAGGAUCACCGUAAUGAUUAAUAGGGAUAGUUGGGGGCAUUAGUAUUCAAUUGUCAGAGGUGAAAUUCUUGGAUUUAUUGAAGACUAACUUCUGCGAAAGCAUUUGCCAAGGAUGUUUUCAUUAAUCAAGAACGAAAGUUAGGGGAUCGAAGACGAUCAGAUACCGUCGUAGUCUUAACCAUAAACUAUGCCGACUAGGGAUCGGACGAUGUUAAUUUUUUAAUGACUCGUUCGGCGCCUCACG